GACGAACGCUGGCGGCGUGCUUAACACAUGCAAGUCGAACGGAAAGGCCCUGCUUUUGUGGGGUGCUCGAGUGGCGAACGUGUGAGUAACACGUGAGUAACCUGCCCUUUACUUUGGGAUAACUUCAGUAAACUGGGGCUAAUACCGGUUAUGCGCUCCUGCUGCAUGGUGUGGUUUGGAAAGUUUCGGCGGUUGGGGAUGGACUCGCGGCUUAUCAGCUUGUUGGUGGGGUAGUGGCUUACCAAGGCUUUGACGGGUAGCCGGCCUGAGAGGGUGACCGGACACAUUGGGACUGAGAUACGGCCCAGAAUCCUACGGGAGGAAGCAGUGGGGAAUAUUGCACAAUGGGCGGAAGCCUGAUGCAGCAACGCCGCGUGCGGGAUGACGGACUUCGGGUUGUAAACCGCUUUCGCCUGUGACGAAGCGUGAGUGACGGUAAUGGGUAAAGAAGCACCGGCUAACUACGUG
This 468-nucleotide ribosomal RNA is filed under the name uncultured bacterium. Its description in RNAcentral is "partial 16S ribosomal RNA". It matches the Rfam family "Bacterial small subunit ribosomal RNA", at positions 28 to 507 of the family's 1533-position model. The record is from RNAcentral.